This 241-nucleotide long non-coding RNA is filed under the name Homo sapiens (human). Its description in RNAcentral is "HSALNT0165073". The record is from RNAcentral. Lineage: Eukaryota; Metazoa; Chordata; Mammalia; Primates; Hominidae.
CCCUGCAACUUUCCUGCCCUCCUAGGGACAGAGUCCAGGUUCCUAGAGCCUCAGCCUUUGGCCACCAAGGUCACCCACUGGCCCUUACGCUCCCGGCUGCCCAGACCAAGUUUUACUCCUACUGCCACUGAUUCCUGGAAAGUACCCCCACUGGGUGGCAGCUCCCCCUGGGAUCCGUGAUCUUAGGUCCCCAUGAGAGGCCCAGUGAGGUUAGGCCACCUAGCCGAACUCCCACAGUGUG